AACGCGAAGAACCUUACCUACCCUUGACAUCCGGCUGACCGGUGAGUAAUGUCACCUUUCCUUCGGGACAGCCGAGACAGGUGGUGCAUGGUUGUCGUCAGCUCGUGUCGUGAGAUGUUGGGUUAAGUCCCGCAACGAGCGCAACCCUUAUCUUUAGUAGCCAGCGGUAUGGCCGGGCACUCUAGAGAGACUGCCAGGGAUAACCUGGAGGAAGGUGGGGAUGACGUCAAAUCAUCAUGCCCCUUAUGGGUAGGGCUACACACGUGCUACAAUGGCGUAAACAAAGGGAGGCAGAGCCGCGAGGCCGAGCAAAUCUCAAAAAUAACGUCUCAGUUCGGAUUGUAGUCUGCAACUCGACUACAUGAAGCUGGAAUCGCUAAUAAUCGCGAAUCAGAAUGUCGCGGUGAAUACGUUCCCGGGUCUUGUACACACCG
RNAcentral lists this ribosomal RNA (434 nucleotides) under uncultured bacterium. Its description in RNAcentral is "bacterial SSU rRNA". It matches the Rfam family "Bacterial small subunit ribosomal RNA", at positions 958 to 1392 of the family's 1533-position model. The record is from RNAcentral.